CCAAGAAUAGAUUCAUAGUUAAAUCCUUCCAAUGGUAGCCCUUCUAGAGACUUCCCUGUAAUCCUCUGCAUCACCUCUUUCCUUAUCGAAGCAGCGCGCUUACAAUCACCGAGCUUGGAUUCCAAUGAGUAUGAUGGUAUUUUCCCCUGCACCACGGAUUUAAUUAUCUCUUCGUCUUCCUCAGACGAAGCUGAUGUUAUCAACGGUGCAGGUUUCUCUACCAUAGACAUAGAAGGUUGAGGUGGUGCCAUUGGGGCAAUUUGUCGAGCAGGUGGUGCAGGAACAGCACAACCAAGAGUAGUUGCAGGCCCACAACGACUAUCUUCCUUCAAUAGAAAUUCCUCAUCAUUUUCAUCCCAUGAAUCAUUAUUUCCCCUUGACACAAACGUCUGAACAAACCCAAUCCCAAAGAAACCAAGAAGAUAAAUGACAGAAGCAAUUAACGAAACAAUAGCACCCAAUUCAGAAAGCGUAACGACAUGUAAAGGAGUGGAAUUCCUGAUUUUCUCACGCCACCUUGAUAGAAGAAAAUACAUAACAGAGAAAAACAUGGUGAAAAACAAGCCAUUCGUGAGAUACAAAGGAAGUGGGAGAGCAUCGGAAGCAUCAAUGAGAAG
RNAcentral lists this long non-coding RNA (617 nucleotides) under Solanum lycopersicum (tomato). RNAcentral describes it as "long non-coding RNA (SLYC_LNC001153)". Lineage: Eukaryota; Viridiplantae; Streptophyta; Magnoliopsida; Solanales; Solanaceae. The record is from RNAcentral.